Non-coding RNA from Camellia sinensis, 1969 nucleotides. The record is from RefSeq and is a predicted model, not a curated record. Lineage: Eukaryota; Viridiplantae; Streptophyta; Magnoliopsida; Ericales; Theaceae.
AUUAUUUCCAAAGUCAUCAUAAAUUUUAGUUAACAAGUUAUUACCGGUUCCACACUCCAAUUGGCAACAUUCCAGCAUCUCUCUCUCUCUCUCUCUCUGGACUCUGCGAAUCUGGUAUCUGUAUCUCCUUCCCCAUCAUCAGAUUUGUUUUUGCAUUAGUGAUUGGCAAUUGGGUAUGCUGAUAUAUUAUUCGUCGCUGCAACUGAGUAUUGGACUAGUGUGAUUGGAAGAUUUGAUGAAUUAAACAGAUGGCUACAUUACUGUCCUUGUAGAUAUCAUAAUUGGGUUGCUUGGACUUUGGGUGGUUUUGGAAUUAUAUUCAGUGAAAUUAGUGUAAGAUAAUUGGGAGGAAAAGUAUGGGCCGUGCUUCGCCACUACUUUUGGUUUUAUUGUCAUUAGGGUUUUUCUUUGCAACAUAUAAUAUGAUAACUAUAGUAAUGCAUCACAAAGACACCAUUUCGGGAAGAUGGGUAGGAAAUGGUUUAGACUGGUUUGAUCCUACUAUUAGAAUGCAUGAGCAGGUGAAGAGAAUGGAGAAUUCAAAUGUACCAUUCCAUGUUGCCCUUACAGCCACAGAUGCACCUUAUAGCAAAUGGCAGUGCCGGAUCAUGUAUUAUUGGUACAAGAAGGUUAAAGCCAUGCCCGGUUCUGCUUUGGGAGGAUUCACUAGGGUUUUGCAUUCAGGAAAUCCAGACAAUUUGAUGGAGGAGAUUCCAACUUUUGUGGUUGACCCUCUUCCAGACGGGCUGGAUCGGGGUUACAUUGUCUUAAAUAGACCAUGGGCUUUUGUGCAAUGGCUGGAAAAGGCAACAAUAGAGGAAGAAUACAUUCUGAUGGCAGAACCUGAUCACGUAUUUGUAAAUCCUUUACCAAACUUGGCAUAUGGAGACCAACCAGUUGCAUUCCCAUUUUUCUACAUAAAACCAGCUGAGAAUGAGAAAAUUGUAAGAAAAUAUUAUCCCAAAGAAAAGGGACUGGUUACUGAAAUUGAUCCAAUCGGUAAUUCUCCAGUAAUUAUCAAGAAGUCUAUUCUGGAAAAUAUUGCACCCACAUGGAUGAAUAUUUCAUUGAGGAUGAAAGAUGACCUAGAGACUGAUAAAGCUUUUGGAUGGGUACUCGAAAUGUAUGCAUAUGCUGUAGCAUCUGCAUUACAUGGUGUAAGGCAUACUCUUCGUAAAGACUUCAUGAUACAGCCACCGUGGGAUUUGGCAGUUGGAAAGAACUUCAUCAUCCAUUACACCUAUGGAUGUGAUUACAAUAUGAAGAGUGUUGUAGUUCCUGGUACUAUGUUGAUUAAGACAUCCUUGCUAAGUCAGUUAAUUCUAGUCGGCAAUAAUUCAGGGCCAACUGACAUAUGGAAAAAUUGGGGAAUGGCGUUUUGACAAGAGAUCAUACCUUCGUGGUCCUCCACCAAGGAACCUCCCAUUACCGCCUCCAGGAGUUCCUGAAAGUGUGGCAAGACUUGUAAAGAUGGUGAAUGAAGCCACUGCUAACAUUCCUGGAUGGGACAAAUUGUAACAAUCCCUUGGAGCAAUUUUUUUGGAAAAUUUUUGAUAUUCAUUGUACAAGACUGAGGACACUUGAAUAGAAAAUUCCCGACAUCAACAGCCUUUUUUGAUACAUAGAUACAAACAUAGGUAACGAAAGAGGAAGAAGAACAUCUUGAUGGAUCAAAUGAGAGAAUCUCUUCUUCAGCAGUUCUGAAAGUCAACCAAAAAAGAUGAUUAUUAUGUACAGAUCUUGAUUUAGUUUAUAGUUUAAUUUCAUUGCUUGUACAGAUGUUUUGCAUGACUAAUUAUGAUCAAAGCAAGAUCAAUGGGUGGUCAUUAUAAUGUAUUUGCUGGUGUUAGAGAAAUAAACUCGAGGAGUGUUACCCCUUGUGGCAACAAUGGCCCUUACUCUUAAGCUUAUCUUUCUGGCAAUGCCUACUUUCUCGAUGAAGUCCAGAGCUUCCAUUUGGUUACAAAAA